GACGAACGCUGGCGGCGUGCUUAACACAUGCAAGUCGAACGGAAAGACCCUGCUUUUGUGGGUUGCUCGAGUGGCGAACAGGUGAGUAACACGUGAGUAACCUGCCCUUGACUUUGUGAUAACUUCACGAAACUCGGGCUAAUACCGGAUAUGAGCUCCUGCUGCAUGGUGGGGGUUGGAAAUUUUCGGCUGUUGGGGAUGGACUCGCGGCUUAUCAGCUUGUUGGUCGGGUAGUUGCUUACCAAGGCUUUGACGGGUAGCCGGCCUGAGAGGGUGACCGGACACAUUGGGACUGCGAUAGGGACCAGAAUGGUACGGGCGGCAGUAGUGGGGAAUAUUGCGCAACGGGCCGAAGCCUGAUGCGGCAAUGUCGCGUGCGGGAUGCCGGCCUUCGGGUUGUAAACCACUUUGGAAUGUGACGUAGACUGAGUGACGGUACCGGGUCAAAAAGCACCGGCUAACUACGUG
This 468-nucleotide ribosomal RNA is filed under the name uncultured bacterium. RNAcentral's name for it is "partial 16S ribosomal RNA". It matches the Rfam family "Bacterial small subunit ribosomal RNA", at positions 28 to 507 of the family's 1533-position model. The record is from RNAcentral.